AUGGCCGGUGGUAAAGGAGUGCAGCAACGCACCACCUCGGGUGGUUCCCAGUCGCCGGCUCCGGAGGAGCGGCGAGGGCGCAGCCGCUCCAGGCGCGGCCAUCGCGGUGAGGUCGUGGUUAGGGAGAUCGUGCGCGAGACCACAAUCAGCGGUAGCGUGCCCAUCACCUUCCCGAUGCUCACGCGCUCAAACUACAGCGAGUGGGCGUUGAUCAUGGAGUGCAACCUUCAUGCGGCGAGCCUCUGGGCUCCCAUGGAGGAUGACCUGAUCGAGAGAAAGGAGGACAGGAAAGCCGUGGCAGCCCUCAUGCGCGCCACGCCGCCGGAGAUGCACGGCAUGCUCGCGGCGAAGGCAAGCGCCAAGGAGGCGUGGGAAGCCAUCCAUACCCAGCGCCUCGCCAGCAACCGCGUGCGCGAGGCGAACGCGCAGAAGCUGCGGGUGGACUUCGAGAACAUCGCCUUCAAGGAGGGCGAGCUCGUCGACGAAUUCGCCAUGCGGAUCUCCAGCCUUGCGUCACAGCUCCGCGCGCUCGGCGACACCAUGGACGACGCGAGAGUCGUGCGGAAAUUUCUCCGCGUCGUGCCAUCUCGCUUCGCUCAGGUAGCGGUCUCCAUCGAGACCUUGCUUGAUCUGAGUGAGCUCUCCGUCGAGGAGAUCACGGGCCGGUUGCGGGUGGUCGAGGACCGUCUUGACGACGGCCGCGAGAGCUUCGGCGGCAGACAACUCCUAUUCUCAAAUAAGUGGGAGGCGAGGAAGCGUCAAGGACGUGGUGGCGGUGCCCAGAGCGGCAGAGACGGCGGUCGCACCCAGGGUGGAGCCGGACGAGGUGCCGGCAACGACGACCGAGACAGGUGCCGAUAUUGCGGCAUCAAGGGCCACUGGGCCCGUGAGUGCCGCAAGAGGAUGGCUGACGAGGAUGCCGCGGCCGCGGCGAACCUCGUCGAGGCUGAAGAGGACGGUGGGCCAGCAAUGAUGAUGGCUUGCGUCGAGACCAUGCAGGAGGGCAUAGCGCCUCCGAAGACCAUGGUCCCGACAAGCAUCGAAGCCGUGCAGGAGGGCGCAGCACCUCCGGAGACCACGGUGCUGGCAAUCGUUAAGUCCGUGUGGGAGGCACGGAGCUCUUCAACUAAUCCCCUCCCCACAUCAUUAGCGCUCUCCCCGACAACAACGUUCUCGGGAGACUACGAUUGGGAGGAGAUGAAGACCCGGAUGUGGGGGAGCCACACCCCGGAAACCACGUCCCCUGCGACGCUGGUCAAGCCCGUGCAAGUUGGCACGGCAAAGGCGUACCCGACAUCCUCGGGACCCAAUAAGCCCGUGUCAGGAGGCACGGCAACGACGUAUAUGGUGGGCCACGUCCCAACCAUGAUGCUGGUGACCAGUGAGACCGUGCAAGAGGCACGACAAUCUCAGGUCGGCCACACCCCGACAACCAGGUUCUCGGGGUUCUGCAAGCCCGUGUGGGCAACGCGGCACUCUUCGACAAGCCUCAACUGGGAGGCAAUGAAGAGACGGUCAUGGGGUGGCAAGGCCUCGACCGAGACUAUGGCGACCUUAGAGUCCGUGCAGGAGGCACAACACUCUCUGGUUGGCUAUGCCGCGACCCCGACGCACUUGGAGUCCAUCGAGUCCGUGCGGGACGCACCGGACUCUGUAGUUGGGCACGACCCAACUACGCUGGUGGCGACCGUCGAGACCGUGCAGGAGGCACGGUGCUCUAUUGUCGGCCACGCCGCAACCCCGACUCACUCGGGGUCCAUCGAGUCCGUGCGGGAGGCACGACUCACGAUUGUCAAGGGAGACCCGACAAGCAAGCCUGAUGGGAAGAGCACGAAGGACUCCACUACCCUGAGAGGAGCCACUCCGGUCAGUGUGGCGUCUGGCACAACGACCCCGGGAAGGGAGUUUCCGGGCAGUGCGGCGUCCGGCACGACGACCCCAGGAAGGGAGUUCCUGGGUAGUGCUAUGUCCAACAAGUCAUCCCCGGGAAGGGAGUUCCUGGGUAGCAUGACGUCCAACACGACGACCCCGGGAAAGGAGUUCCUGGGCAGUGUGACAUCAGGAACUACGAUCCCAGGAACACUGACGCCCACGAGCGAGGUGGUUCCCGGGCAGUUCAUGUCCCCGCCAACAGCGCGGUCGGACUUGUUCGAUGCCAACAAAAAAUGGUGGCGAUCCACAUAG
This 2184-nucleotide ribosomal RNA is filed under the name Triticum aestivum (bread wheat). RNAcentral's name for it is "partial small subunit ribosomal RNA". The record is from RNAcentral. Lineage: Eukaryota; Viridiplantae; Streptophyta; Magnoliopsida; Poales; Poaceae.